Molecule: long non-coding RNA, 2209 nt
Organism: Thamnophis elegans (Western terrestrial garter snake)
Lineage: Eukaryota; Metazoa; Chordata; Lepidosauria; Squamata; Natricidae
Exons: 2
Source: RefSeq, a predicted model, not a curated record
CCUGCAAUGCGUCAAGGAACGAUGCUGGCAUGAAUGUGCUGGAGAGAGUUUUGUAUGAAUGGCUGAAUCCGAAGAGAGACGGGAAGGAGAGAGGGAAUUAGGGAGGCUGCAGGCCUUGGGGAACGGUGGGUGACGGGGCGGGUUAGCCCAAAAAGUGCAAAGGUGACUGCAGAGCCUCUCUGCGGCUGCAUGGACAGGCACGGGGAAGACCUCCCUUCCCCUGGGCGUUUGCAGCAAGGGAGUCCGGGGCUGGGCUGCCUCCCCGGCAGGGAGAGGAAGGGAAGGGAAAGGAAAGGCAGGGCGUUCAUUCCUUCCCUUCCAAGGGGAAAAGCGCUUGUGCCCGACAACCAGCAGCAACGCCUUCUUGCCUCGUUGCCGAGGCGAGCAUUUCGGACAGCAGCCCCCUCGCUUGAGAGUUGGGACGGCGAUUGCAGACGAAGGGCAGACCCAUCCCCAUCUGCUUGGCCAACCGUGGGUCGCCACGUGUUUUUCCCGCGGAGAAAAACGCGCCUUCGCCUUGGGGGAACGAUCCGUUUCUCUCCCGCGCUCGGCAUCUGCACAACGCCAACCGAGAAACGCCUCAGCUUGGAAAGGCUCGGUUGGCCGGACGAGGCGUAACCGCGCCCGGAACUCUUCGGCCUUUUUGGCCGAGAGAGGCUGGUUGGGUGUCGCUCAGCCUCCAACUUGGAGCCGGCUGGGAAUAAGACCGGACAGAACAAGUUUUGAACAGAGACCAGGAACUAUUCUUUACUGUCCUUUUCGUUGUGCAACCUAAUUUUUAAAAAAGGGAGUCCUGCUUGUCUGGUUGCAUACACAAACACACAAAGAAUCUCAGGUUGGGGGUAAGGGCGGGUCAGCAAUCAGCCUGUGAAUGUAAAACUUUCACUGGAGUUUCGUGACUGAAUAUGUAAGACACAACACAUGCAGAAGUGUCUUCAUAGAAGCAACUGCAGUGGAAAAUGGGUCUCUGGCAUCUUUAACAUUGGGUACCAUGGAGAUUUCCAAAAGAUGUUCCCAUCUCUGCCUAAUACCUCUUCCAACAGAAUAUUAAAGACGAAGGAUACUCUCCAGUCACUUACAAAACGGGAAUGAUGAUAAUAGCAGAAACUUUUACAUUGGAAAAAAAGCUAUAGAAGUGGAACUUGCAACAAAAUUUUGCAAUGAAGAUGUUCAGCUAUGGCUUAUUUCACAUACAUGCCUGCUACAUAGUUUGCAAGUUGAGAUUUAAUCAUUGUAUAUUCAAAAACAUAUGCCUCCAGAAAAACAUGGAAGUAUCCAACUUAAUUAAUGUUUGUCAUAUACUUGUAUACUAAAGUUGUCACAACUUAGAAUCUUCAGAUUACCUUGAAUUUGUUCUACAGGAGAAAGGAUUAUAAUUCAUUGAAUAAUCAAACAAAAUUCAUGGUAUACAACUGUACAAGUAUAUUAUAGGAUGGUACCAUCACUGAAAUUUAUUAGAUAUAUGUAGCUCUGCCAUUUUAUUGAGCCUGUUUGGUAUUACCAAAACAGAAAAUAUAACAAUAAUAUGAUAUACAUUUAUAAUUCUUACGUUGUCAGAUUGUCAUUGGGAUUAUUACUGAAACUUUCCCCCUAUUUAUAUUUUUUUUCAGAAAGAUGACUCAAGUUUGAGUUUUUUUGGCAUGGAUGUUUUACGUAUUUGAACAUCUUUGUUUGAAUACAAUAUUGUUGUAUAUUCUGUUGUAUAUCGGAAGGCUACAGUUCUUCAAAUAUAAUUGAUAUCGAGCAUUUUAAUUUUCACAGUAAGAAACAUUUUUGUAAUAAAAGAAGAGCUUCAAGCAUAAUGUUAUAAAGCCAGUAGGGAUAACAUAUUAUUUUGAUGAACAAUAUAAGUGGGUUGGGGAAGUUUUCCAUUUCAAAAUGCUGAAGUAAGAGCAAAGUCUCAUGAGUUCAACUGGCAAUUGUUUUUGAAAAUUUGAUAUCACUGAAUUAUAUUGGCAAUAUAUCCCAAAGAACUGAAUAAAUUUGAAAAAAAAUGUUUUCUUACUGGAGGGGAUAUUAAGCACUAGCCAAUUUAUUUUAAAAUAUUUCACCUAGAACAUAAAGCAGUUUUUCUGAUAUUAGCAGAUUAAAAUUCUGGAGAAGAUCUUUUUCCUGCCAAAACAAAGUUUAUGCUUUUCAAAAACAAGUCACAUCUUUCCACUCAUGUAACAAAGUUUUAAAAAGAAAAAGUAAAAUCACAAAUCUUACU